UUGCUCAUGUGUAAGCCUGACUUUUAAUUUUUUAACAAUAAAAACAUGUAGCGAUGUGAUUAUCACAUCACAACUCCAUUUUUUUGCCACAUGAUUUUCACGUUACUAUAUCACGUGUCUGAAGAGAAGUUUUUUUUUAUAGUGAAUGAUGAUGCAAAUAUAGCAUAAAUUUAUUACCAAAUUAAACUAACAUCUGGAAUUAGAUUGUUAUAGAAUUGAAGAGUAAAUUGAUUUUGUAUUUUUUUAAUCGAUGGAGAAAU
RNAcentral lists this long non-coding RNA (260 nucleotides) under Lathyrus oleraceus (garden pea). RNAcentral's name for it is "Pisum sativum (pea) long non-coding RNA (PSAT_LNC005802)". Lineage: Eukaryota; Viridiplantae; Streptophyta; Magnoliopsida; Fabales; Fabaceae. The record is from RNAcentral.